GGAACGCCGGAUCCAAGCACGGGUGUAAGAUUUCCCUUUUCAAAGGUGGAGAAUAAGAAAUGAGCCCGAGUGUGUAACGGCGUCCAUAGUGGGGUGGACGAGACAGAGGGGAUGGGGCAAGGAGCGCGGGUGGGGCUCUCACCGCGACUUGAAUGUGGAUGAGAGUGGGACGGUGACGGCGGGCGCGAAGGCGACGGCAUCGCUUCUCGGCCUUUUGGCUAAGAUCAAGUGUAGUAUCUGUUCUUAUCAGUUUAAUAUCUGAUACGUCCUCUAUCCGAGGACAAUAUAUUAAAUGGAUUUUUGGAGCAGGGAGAUGGAAUAGGAGCUUGCUCCGUCCACUCCACGCAUCGACCUGGUAUUGCAGUACCUCCAGGAACGGUGCACCACCUCCGGGGAUACAACGCGUUUGCUAAAAGUAGAAGGGGAGAGAGAGAGAGAGAGCAUGGGCGGGGCGGCUUGCAAACCAAGCGUCUGUGAUACGCCGUCUUGCCGGCUCAACUGCUCGUUGGAGUACCGUGGGGUUUCUGACCUGCGGGCAGCAAACGGAACUUCUUCCUCUUCGGCCCGCUGAGUAGCUGGCACUUGAAGGCAGGUGCCAACGCACCGGCGACACGCUUCCGUGUUUGCCCAGGAAAAACUGCGGUGCAGGUAAUAUAAGCCAUGUAUCGGGGCAGUCCAAGCAUCGUGGCUCCGCCGUUCAUGCUUGAUGCAUCUGUAGGCUCCGUUCUAGGUAUGCACAUCGUUUACGGGAUCAGCCACCGGCAGUUGCCUUACAACCCGUGAUGACAAAUCUCUGCCGGCUCUUUUGGGUCUCAUCCCUGUAUCUA
RNAcentral lists this long non-coding RNA (827 nucleotides) under Macaca fascicularis (crab-eating macaque). RNAcentral describes it as "lncRNA (ENSMFAG00000064191.1)". The stretch from base 199 to 389 matches the Rfam family "U2 spliceosomal RNA". Lineage: Eukaryota; Metazoa; Chordata; Mammalia; Primates; Cercopithecidae. The record is from RNAcentral.